This 476-nucleotide ribosomal RNA is filed under the name Rhinella merianae. RNAcentral describes it as "partial large subunit ribosomal RNA". It matches the Rfam family "Bacterial large subunit ribosomal RNA", at positions 1973 to 2603 of the family's 2925-position model. Lineage: Eukaryota; Metazoa; Chordata; Amphibia; Anura; Bufonidae. The record is from RNAcentral.
UCUUUAAAUGUGGACUAGUAUGAACGGCAUCACGAAGGUUAUACUGUCUCCUUUUUCUAAUCAGUGAAACUAAUCUCCCCGUGAAGAAGCGUGGAUAAAAUUAUAAGACGAGAAGACCCUAUGGAGCUUUAAACAACACAGCACUUACCUGAGAACCUUGAAUGUUUCUGUAACACUAACUCUUAGAGUAAGAUGACUGCAAGUUUUUGGUUGGGGUGACCACGGAGUAUAUCAUAACCUCCAUGUUGAAAGAAUUUCUCUAAGCCAAGAACAACCUAUCUAAGCAUUAAUAAAUUAACAUCUAUUGACCCAAUAAAUUUGACCAACGAACCAAGUUACCCUAGGGAUAACAGCGCAAUCCACUUCAAGAGCUCCUAUCGACAAGUGGGUUUACGACCUCGAUGUUGGAUCAGGGUAUCCCAGUGGUGCAGCCACUACUAAAGGUUCGUUUGUUCAACGAUUAAAACCCUACGUGA